AUAAACUCAAAACCCCUAAAUAAACUCAAAACCCCUAAAUAAACUCAAAACCCCUAAAUAAAGUGAAAUGUAGAAGUGGCCGGAUGUUGUAGAGGUUAUGUAGAAGUGGCCGGAUGUUGUAGAGGUUAUGUAGAAGUGGCCGGAUGUUGUAGAGGUUAUGUAGAAGAACAUUCAAAUGUAGAGGUUAUGUAGAAGAACAUUCAAAUGUAGAAGAACAUUGAAAAAAAAAACUAAAUGAAAUGAAGAACAUACCUUGAAGAUGACCUUCGAGGAUGACCGGAGAGAAGUGGCCGGAGGACGGACUAGAAGAUCGCCGGAGGGGUUUGGGGAGGGUUAGGGAAGAGUGGGGAGAAGUGGAGAGGAUUUUGGGGGAAAAGAAAAUGAAAGAAAUCUGGAUUUUUUUUCUUAUAUAAAAAAUUUCCGGCGGCCU
Molecule: long non-coding RNA, 430 nt
Filed under: Zostera marina
Lineage: Eukaryota; Viridiplantae; Streptophyta; Magnoliopsida; Alismatales; Zosteraceae
Description: long non-coding RNA (ZMAR_LNC004814)
Source: RNAcentral